CAUGCGCAACGCAUAGGGAUGACAUGAAAAAUAAAAUUCUAAUUCUAAAAUACUUUAUUGAUCCCAAAUAUGUGCGAGAGAAAGAUACAAACCAAAUGGCUGUUGUCGGGAUCGACCCGUAUGUGACAAAGAAGGUAAAUAUGUCGGUGGAUGUGGACAAGAUGCCUCCGAUCAACUUCUACGAAAACGAAGAGUGUAAAACAUGGAGGAGCUUCACGGCCUGACGCAUACAGUCAACGUUUCAACGGAUUUGUUAAAGACGGACGAACUCUGCGUGUGAACAACAAGGUUCUGGUGACUGGCGGAGUGUAUCCACUCCAGUUUGAGACAACAGGGUGAGCCGGCAGCCGCAGGCUCGCUCUGUGGCAGCAGCAGAGAGAGAUCUGCCCCCCGGAGGGAAGGCCUCAUCUCGGAGAGAUUAAUUACAGGCUACGGAGCUGCAGCGCGCUGGGAGCGCACAUGGCUCCCGGGCCUAAAUAGAUUCAUCUGCGUUCACACAAACACACACAAGUGCUGCCUCACUUUUCCUCACAAGCAGGAUCCAUCAGCAAGUCGAGUCCCAGGAAGGCGUUUUGGCUGCUGUCUAAAUAACUUCCCGGGUCUACUUGGAGCAACCUGGACAUGACGUCCUAUUGGCAAACACAGGAGCAGAGUUAUCAGUAAAAUCAGCACCUGCUUGGAAUCAGUUCUGCGUGUGUGCAGCUUUUCCUGCAUGCUGCAACAGAACGGGCCUGCAGGAGAUGUAGCAGGUGGCCUCGCUCUCUGCUGAGGACAGCUGGGACCGUUUGUUGACUCUGGAUUACUGGAGCAGGAUUCCAGCAGAAUACCUCCACACUGGCCUGCUGAAUAUUUCUGUAGGUAAACAUUUACCACAGUAGUGUCAGCAAAACUCCUGGAUUACUAGAGACAAGAUGAAAUGCAGCUGAGUGUGUUCUUUGUUGGAAGCCUUUGGGAUUGCAAUUUACUCUUAAAAGGCUGAAGGAGAGUUUUAUUUUUUGCA
Long non-coding RNA from Gambusia affinis (western mosquitofish), 1000 nucleotides. RefSeq lists it as uncharacterized. NCBI's taxonomy places the organism in Eukaryota, Metazoa, Chordata, Actinopteri, Cyprinodontiformes, Poeciliidae. The transcript has 3 exons. The record is from RefSeq and is a predicted model, not a curated record.